CGCAUCUUGCGCUCCCUGGUAUUCCGGGGAGCAUGCCUGUUCGAGUGUCGUAAACUUCUCAAUCCAGCUAGUUUUUGCGAACUAUUUGCUGGCAUUGGAUUUGGGCUUUGCUGCGUCAAUGCAGCUGGCCUUAAAAGUAUUAGCUGAAUCUUGUCUGAUGAAGACUGGUUUGACUCGGCGUGAUAAUUAUCUGACCGCUGAGGACAUCGCAAGAUGGCCAGACUUUUUGACUGAGAGUCGCUUCUAAUCGUCGGUUUAUCUGACAAGUUACUUCACCCCUUUGACCUCGAAUCAGGUAGGACUACCCGCUGAACUUAA
This 318-nucleotide unclassified non-coding RNA is filed under the name Clavulinaceae sp. RNAcentral describes it as "partial contains 5.8S ribosomal RNA, internal transcribed spacer 2, and large subunit ribosomal RNA". The record is from RNAcentral. Lineage: Eukaryota; Fungi; Basidiomycota; Agaricomycetes; Cantharellales; Hydnaceae.